CUGGCGGCGUGGAUAAGACAUGCAAGUCGAACGCUGGCUGCCGGGUAGCAAUAUUCGGCAGUCGGAGUGGCGUAAGGGUGCGUAACACGUGGGUAAUUUGCCAUGAAGCCCGGAAUAACUCGCUGAAAGGCGAGCUAAUACCGGAUGUGACGCCUGGGAGGCAUCUCCCGGACUUUAAAGCUGGGGACCGCAAGGCCUGGCACUUCUUGAUAAGCCCGCGGCCUAUCAGCUAGUUGGUGAGGUAACGGCUCACCAAGGCUAAGACGGGUAGCUGGUCUGAGAGGACGACCAGCCUCACUGGAACUGAGAUACGGUCCAGACACCUACGGGUGGCAGCAGUCGAGAAUUUUUCACAAUGGGCGAAAGCCUGAUGGAGCGACGCCGCGUGGGGGAUGAAUGGCUUCGGCCCGUAAACCCCUGUCAUUUGCGAACAAACCUUGUCAUUUAACAGACGACAAGCUGAUUGUAGCGGAAGAGGAAGGGACGGCUAACUCUGUGCCAGCAGCCGCGGUAAUACAGAGGUCCCAAGCGUUGUUCGGAUUCACUGGGCGUAAAGGGUGCGUAGGCGGUUGGGUAAGUCUGUCGUGAAAUCUCCGAGCCUAACUCGGAAACUGCGUCGGAUACUAUUCAACUCGAGGAAUGGAGGGGAGACUGGAAUUCUCGGUGUAGCAGUGAAAUGCGUAGAUAUCGAGAGGAACACCAGUGGCGAAG
RNAcentral lists this ribosomal RNA (711 nucleotides) under uncultured bacterium. Its description in RNAcentral is "bacterial SSU rRNA". It matches the Rfam family "Bacterial small subunit ribosomal RNA", at positions 36 to 720 of the family's 1533-position model. The record is from RNAcentral.